This 488-nucleotide ribosomal RNA is filed under the name uncultured bacterium. Its description in RNAcentral is "bacterial SSU rRNA". It matches the Rfam family "Bacterial small subunit ribosomal RNA", at positions 8 to 526 of the family's 1533-position model. The record is from RNAcentral.
AGAGUUUGAUCAUGGCUCAGGAUGAACGCUGGCGGCGUGCCUAACACAUGCAAGUCGAACGGACCUUCGGGUGAGUGGCGGACGGGUGAGUAACACGUAGCUGAUCUACCUCAAAGUGGGGGAUAACGGUGCGAAAGCGCUGCUAAUACCGCAUAAGCUCACGCUGAUUUAGCAAGGUGUGAGAAAAACUCUGGUGCUUUGAGAUGAGGCUGCGGCCCAUCAGGUAGUUGGUAGGGUAACGGCCUACCAAGCCAACGACGGGUAGGGGGCCUGAGAGGGUGAACCCCCACACUGGGACUGAGACACGGCCCAGACUCCUACGGGAGGCAGCAGUGAGGAAUAUUGGUCAAUGGGGGCAACCCUGAACCAGCAACGCCGCGUGGGCGAUGAAGGUCUUCGGAUCGUAAAGCCCUUUUGCAGGUGACGAGGAAGGACGGUAGCCUGCGAAGAAGUGUCGGCUAACUACGUGCCAGCAGCCGCGGUAAUUC